RNAcentral lists this non-coding RNA (214 nucleotides) under Lederbergia galactosidilytica. RNAcentral describes it as "Bacillus galactosidilyticus T-box sequence". It matches the Rfam family "T-box leader". Rfam says of the family: Uncharged tRNA acts as the effector for transcription antitermination of genes in the T-box leader family. T-boxes are found upstream of many aminoacyl-tRNA synthetase genes and some amino acid biosynthetic genes usually in Gram-positive bacteria. Lineage: Bacteria; Bacillati; Bacillota; Bacilli; Caryophanales; Bacillaceae. The record is from RNAcentral.
GUUGAAACGUGAAUAAAGGAAUAGUAAUGAUAUCAAACUGUGUAGAGAGUUGACGGUUGGUGGAAGUCAAUCAGGGUGAAUCAUGAACUCGCCUUUUAGUUGUAUAAGCGAAAGAAGUAGUUUAUGCCGUUUUCCGCGUUAAGGAUAUAUGAGUGAAUGCAAUAAGCAUUAAUGUGGGUGGUUACCGCGGGAGCUUAAGUCUCUCGUCCCAGAG